GAGUUUGAUCCUGGCUCAGGAUGAACGCUGGCGGCGUGCCUAAUACAUGCAAGUCGAGCGAACAGAUAAGGAGCUUGCUCCUUUGAAGUUAGCGGCGGACGGGUGAGUAACACGUGGGUAACCUACCUAUAAGACUGGGAUAACUUCGGGAAACCGGAGCUAAUACCGGAUAACAUUUAGAACCGCAUGGUUCUAAAGUGAAAGAUGGUUUUGCUAUCACUUAUAGAUGGACCCGCGCCGUAUUAGCUAGUUGGUAAGGUAACGGCUUACCAAGGCGACGAUACGUAGCCGACCUGAGAGGGUGAUCGGCCACACUGGAACUGAGACACGGUCCAGACUCCUACGGGAGGCAGCAGUAGGGAAUCUUCCGCAAUGGGCGAAAGCCUGACGGAGCAACGCCGCGUGAGUGAUGAAGGGUUUCGGCUCGUAAAACUCUGUUAUUAGGGAAGAACAAAUGUGUAAGUAACUGUGCACAUCUUGACGGUACCUAAUCAGAAAGCCA
Molecule: ribosomal RNA, 502 nt
Filed under: uncultured bacterium
Lineage: Bacteria
Description: bacterial SSU rRNA
Rfam family: Bacterial small subunit ribosomal RNA
Source: RNAcentral